AAGUCGUGAUCAAAACAUUCGUCGAGAGCCUCAAUAAAACUCUCACAUGCAGCACUAAGACUUUUAUUACUUUCUUGUUUAAAAGCAAUAAUCUCGUUACAAAGAU
Phragmites australis (common reed) is the source of this 106-nucleotide small nucleolar RNA. The record is from RefSeq and is a predicted model, not a curated record. NCBI's taxonomy places the organism in Eukaryota, Viridiplantae, Streptophyta, Magnoliopsida, Poales, Poaceae.